This is a non-coding RNA of Meleagris gallopavo (turkey), 1105 nucleotides long. The record is from RefSeq and is a predicted model, not a curated record. NCBI's taxonomy places the organism in Eukaryota, Metazoa, Chordata, Aves, Galliformes, Phasianidae.
CUCACCUCCCUAAUGUCAUUGAAAAUAUAUCUCCGUUUUCCCCAUUUGAAACAGAAUAUUCAAAAUGAAGCUGCUUUGAAUGUAGAACUUGGCUGGAAAUUGUUUGUACACAUUUGCAGAGCACGUAUAGAGAAUUCAAAAAUGUCAUUAAGUUAGUAGGCUCAGUCUUGUUGCAAGAUCACAGAGUUUAACACACAAUAGUGUCUGAGCAAAUCACAAAGAUAGCCUGAAUGAGAUUUAUCUUAACAGCUGUUCUUUCCUACUCUACACUUGAAGUAGUGACCUUAUAUCUGUUCAUAAUCUCUGAAGAAAAAUAGAAAACAAUCACCUCAUAAAUAAACAGCUAAUUUAAGCCAGAUGACCUGCCCCCUACCUGUUUAGUUCUAGUGACUACAUGGAAAGGGUAACUAGAUCAGAUCUAGAAAAACAUUAUAUACCUGCAAAGAUAUAUGGGAUGAAUGUCACUGUCCUUGACCUUGUCCUCAUGUCCCAGAUAGCUAAAGGUUUUAGCACUCUAUUGAUUGCAGCUGAGCAAAAAGUACCUCAGGCAUCUCUCUUCAGUCUGUUUUGCCACUACUUGUCUUGGGGAUUUUUCAGAGGUGGAAAUAAGCAAAAUUAUACAAACUUUUAUUCACUGGUUUGUUUUGGAAAUGGAAAAGAAAGAACAGUUCGUAAAUGGAUUCCUAUUUUUUCCAGGUAUUUCUCCAUUCCUAAUGAGCUGGAGUGCAUAAUAAGAGUGAGUGUUUUAACACGGUGCAGAGGAACAGUGACAAACCUCUCUAUUCACAGAACUCUCCAAAAUGGAAAGCAACUGGAAAUAACCUGUGCAAUUUCACGCUCAGUGGAGGGCCGAUGUUGAUCAGGUUGCUCAUGUCCUGUUUGAUUAGGGAUGGAAAUUUCACGUCCUCUGAAGAAAAACAAGAACAGGAAGCAUGAGAGAUACUGGAGAUAGUUAAAACCAUCUGGACAUGGUCCUGGGUAACUGGCCACCUGGUCUAGGUGUUUCUGCUUGAGCAGAGGCUUGGAGCAGGUGACCUUCAGAUAACAGAAUCACAGAAUCACAGAACUGUAGGGGUUGGAAGGGACCUCUAGAGAUCAUCGAGAC